CCUGAGAAACCCAAAAGAUCGAAUGGGGAGAUUCAUCGUCAGCUCAUUUUGUAUAUAUACAAGUUAUGAUAUGGGUUACUACUUGUAGUAUUGCCUAUACAUUCUUAUAUAUUUAAUUGCAAUAUGUUGCCGGCGUGCACUUCUCCUCUAGUAGGACGUCGCGACCCGUUGAGUGUCGGUCUACGGCCCAAGUGGUAGCCUUUAAUUUUAUUAUUGAAGACCCUUGGUGUUUCCUGACUGGCUACUCGGCGGUAUUCGUACGGUAUUAAGCCGCAUUUAUGCGUCCAUAUUCGUCGCAAGCGCGAUCAAUUUUUGGUAGUACGGACCUAGUGCCGUCGCUAUAAUUGAUCAGCUGUUGGUUGUACGGAAUUCUAGGACUGGCUUAAAAUUUUUUAUACCGGUCAGCGAUGCUACUGCUUUGGGUACUUUCAGGACCCGUCUUGAAACACGGACCAAGGAGUCUAACAUGUACGCGAGUCAUUGGGAUUUUUUUAAAAAUUAAACCUAAAGGCGUAAUGAAAGUAAAGGUCGUCCUUGUGUCGAUUGAGGGAGGAUGAGUUGUGUUAAGAUACAGCUUCGCACUCCCGGGGCGUCUCAUU
Molecule: ribosomal RNA, 599 nt
Filed under: Aulosaphoides sp. 1 DLJQ-2016
Lineage: Eukaryota; Metazoa; Arthropoda; Insecta; Hymenoptera; Braconidae
Description: eukaryotic LSU rRNA
Rfam family: Eukaryotic large subunit ribosomal RNA
Source: RNAcentral